This 512-nucleotide ribosomal RNA is filed under the name uncultured bacterium. RNAcentral's name for it is "bacterial SSU rRNA". It matches the Rfam family "Bacterial small subunit ribosomal RNA", at positions 67 to 558 of the family's 1533-position model. The record is from RNAcentral.
CGGAAGAAAGGGAGCAACUCCCCGGUACAGUGGCGCACGGUGAGUAACACGUAGGUAAUCUGCCUUGGGUGUUGGAUAACCUUCGAAAGGAGGGCUAAUACAGCGUAAGACCACGAGCACGAAAGUGCUUGAGGUCAAAGUAGGCCUCUGUAAACAAGCUUACGCCUGAGGAUGAGCCUGCGGCCCAUCAGCUAGUUGGUAGGGUAAUGGCUUACCAAGGCAAAGACGGGUAGCUGGUCUGAGAGGAUGAUCAGCCACACUGGAACUGAGACACGGUCCAGACUCCUACGGGAGGCAGCAGUGGGGAAUCUUGCGCAAUGGGGGAAACCCUGGACGCAGCGACGCCGCGUGAGUGAUGAAGGCCUUCGGGUUGUAAAGCUCUGUGGGGAGAGACGAAUAAGUGUAGUCGAAUAGACUGCAUGAUGACGGUAUCUCCUUAGCAAGCACCGGCUAACUCUGUGCCAGCAGCCGCGGUAAGACAGAGGGUGCAAACGUUGUUCGGAAUGACUGGG